RNAcentral lists this ribosomal RNA (253 nucleotides) under uncultured bacterium. Its description in RNAcentral is "partial 16S ribosomal RNA". It matches the Rfam family "Bacterial small subunit ribosomal RNA", at positions 524 to 776 of the family's 1533-position model. The record is from RNAcentral.
CACGUAGGGCGCAAGCGUUGUCCGGAAUUAUUGGGCGUAAAGAGCUCGUAGGCGGUCUGUUGCGUCCGCUGUGAAAUCUCGGGGCUUAACCCCGAGCCUGCAGUGGAUACGGGCAGACUAGAGGUAGGUAGGGGAGAAUGGAAUUCCCGGUGUAGCGGUGAAAUGCGCAGAUAUCGGGAGGAACACCGGUGGCGAAGGCGGUUCUCUGGGCCUUACCUGACGCUGAGACGCGAAAGCGUGGGGAGCAAACAGG